AUUGAACGCUGGCGGCGUGCCUAACACAUGCAAGUCGAGCGGUAACAGGUGUAGCAAUACAUGCUGACGAGCGGCGGACGGGUGAGUAACGCUUGGGAAUCUGCCUAUUAGUGGGGGACAACCCGGGGAAACUCGGGCUAAUACCGCAUACGCUCUACGGAGGAAAGCCGGGGACCGCAAGGCCUGGCGCUAAUAGAUGAGCCCAAGUCGGAUUAGCUAGUUGGUAGGGUAAUGGCCUACCAAGGCGACGAUCCGUAACUGGUCUGAGAGGACGACCAGUCACACCGGAACUGAGACACGGUCCGGACUCCUACGGGAGGCAGCAGUGGGGAAUAUUGGACAAUGGGCGAAAGCCUGAUCCAGCGACGCCGCGUGGGUGAAGAAGGCCUGCGGGUUGUAAAGCCCUUUUCAGUGGGGAAGAAAAGCCUCGACCUGACACGUCGGGGUCUUGACGUAACCCAUAGAAGAAGCACCGGCUAACUCUGUGCCAGCAGCCGCCGCAGUAAC
This 507-nucleotide ribosomal RNA is filed under the name uncultured bacterium. RNAcentral describes it as "bacterial SSU rRNA". It matches the Rfam family "Bacterial small subunit ribosomal RNA", at positions 29 to 526 of the family's 1533-position model. The record is from RNAcentral.